This is a small nucleolar RNA of Echinops telfairi (small Madagascar hedgehog), 120 nucleotides long. RefSeq annotates it as small nucleolar RNA SNORA61. The transcript has a single exon. The record is from RefSeq and is a predicted model, not a curated record. NCBI's taxonomy places the organism in Eukaryota, Metazoa, Chordata, Mammalia, Afrosoricida, Tenrecidae.
ACCUCCCAGAUUCUUUAUUCAUCAGACCUAAACACAGGUCUGAGUGAUUACAAAAGGAGGAAAAGUACAAUAGAAACUGACUUCAAUUAUUUGUGACACAUAAGUUAGUUUCAAGCAAAU